RNAcentral lists this signal recognition particle RNA (268 nucleotides) under Syntrophomonadaceae bacterium. RNAcentral's name for it is "signal recognition particle sRNA large type". It matches the Rfam family "Bacterial large signal recognition particle RNA". Rfam says of the family: The signal recognition particle (SRP) is a universally conserved ribonucleoprotein involved in the co-translational targeting of proteins to membranes. Archaeal SRP consists of a 7S RNA and homologues of the eukaryotic SRP19 and SRP54 proteins. Lineage: Bacteria; Bacillati; Bacillota; Clostridia; Eubacteriales; Syntrophomonadaceae. The record is from RNAcentral.
CCGUGCUAGACGGGGAGGUAGCGGUGCCCUGUAACUCGCAAUCCGCUACAGCGGGGUUGAAUUCCUGGGCCGAGGCUGUAUCCUUGUGAGGUCCGGCUUGAGUAAGUGGCGUUGAAGUUUGGGUCCUUCGCAAUGGUACGCUCUGAACCGUGUCAGGUCCGGAAGGAAGCAGCACUAAGGGGUUAUCACCAUGUGACGAGGGGGAGCCUGAAUGGAGUUAACUGCUUCAGGCAGCGCUCGGAAGGUGCAGUCGGAGCCAGGUGCACGG